Molecule: long non-coding RNA, 658 nt
Organism: Peromyscus californicus insignis
Lineage: Eukaryota; Metazoa; Chordata; Mammalia; Rodentia; Cricetidae
Exons: 2
Source: RefSeq, a predicted model, not a curated record
CUGUCAAAGAACUGGCCACUGCAGUGACGGCUCUUUCUGGAUCUCCAACUUGCUAGUUCGCCUCCUGAUUCGGGACUUGCUGGCCUCCAAAACUAUUUCCACUUAUUGGAGUGAUAUUCUGAGCUGGCUGCAAGGUAUAGGACUUACAUGUGAGAGAGCAGGAUGACAUGGACAUUUGCUGAGUGCUUACCAUAGACCAAGCUCUUGCUGUGAAUGGUUUCCCACAUUCCUUACAACAAACUGAAGAAAGAAAAACAUCACUCUCCCUGAUGUAGAAAUGAGGACCUGAGACUUCCUGAGAGCUCAUAUAUCAAAAGCCAGGAUUUCAAGCUGGAUCUAACUCUAAAACAUGUGUUCUUCCCACUGCACUGUGAUACUUUCUUUUAGACUCUGAAACUAUAUAAGAAGGACCAGAGGGAGAGAAUUCCUUCAGAGGGAAGUAUCUAAUAUUAUUUCAAAUAUGUUUACAUACCUUGUUAGGAAAUCUACAUGAUGCAAAAUGCACCUCUUUUUUUUUUUUUAACAAAAAUCUCUUCUAUAUUCCAAUUUGCAUUUUAUAUUUGAAACAGCUUAACUAGAAAGUUGCAGCUUAAUGGCUGCAAAGGACCAAUGGAAAUUGCUGCUUUUGAUACAAUAAAAUCUGCAACACUCUUGGUGA